This 519-nucleotide ribosomal RNA is filed under the name uncultured Bacteroidota bacterium. Its description in RNAcentral is "bacterial SSU rRNA". It matches the Rfam family "Bacterial small subunit ribosomal RNA", at positions 10 to 524 of the family's 1533-position model. Lineage: Bacteria; Pseudomonadati; Bacteroidota. The record is from RNAcentral.
AGUUUGAUCCUGGCUCAGGAUGAACGCUAGCGGCAGGCUUAACACAUGCAAGUCGAGGGGUAACAGGAGAGCUUGCUCUUGCUGACGACCGGCGCACGGGUGCGUAACGCGUAUACAAUCUGCCUUGUACUAGGGGAUAGCCUUUAGAAAUGAAGAUUAAUACUCUAUAGUCUAUUUGAACGGCAUCGUUUUAAAUAGUAAAGGUUACGGUACAAGAUGAGUAUGCGUCCUAUUAGUUUGUUGGUAAGGUAACGGCUUACCAAGACUACGAUAGGUAGGGGCCCUGAGAGGGGGAUCCCCCACACUGGUACUGAGACACGGACCAGACUCCUACGGGAGGCAGCAGUGAGGAAUAUUGGACAAUGGGCGAGAGCCUGAUCCAGCCAUGCCGCGUGCAGGAAGACGGCCCUAUGGGUUGUAAACUGCUUUUAUACAGGAAGAAACACUCUCUCGAGAAGAGAGCUUGACGGUACUGUAAGAAUAAGGACCGGCUAACUCCGUGCCAGCAGCCGCGGUAAU